Molecule: ribosomal RNA, 508 nt
Filed under: uncultured bacterium
Lineage: Bacteria
Description: partial 16S ribosomal RNA
Rfam family: Bacterial small subunit ribosomal RNA
Source: RNAcentral
GACGAACGCUGGCGGCGUGCCUAAUACAUGCAAGUCGAACGCUUCUUUCCUCCCGAGUGCUUGCACUCAAUUGGAAAGAGGAGUGGCGGACGGGUGAGUAACACGUGGGUAACCUACCCAUCAGAGGGGGAUAACACUUGGAAACAGGUGCUAAUACCGCAUAACAGUUUAUGCCGCAUGGCAUAAGAGUGAAAGGCGCUUUCGGGUGUCGCUGAUGGAUGGACCCGCGGUGCAUUAGCUAGUUGGUGAGGUAACGGCUCACCAAGGCCACGAUGCAUAGCCGACCUGAGAGGGUGAUCGGCCACACUGGGACUGAGACACGGCCCAGACUCCUACGGGAGGCAGCAGUAGGGAAUCUUCGGCAAUGGACGAAAGUCUGACCGAGCAACGCCGCGUGAGUGAAGAAGGUUUUCGGAUCGUAAAACUCUGUUGUUAGAGAAGAACUAGGACGUUAGUAACUGAACGUCCCCUGACGGUAUCUAACCAGAAAGCCACGGCUAACUACGUG